UAAGCGCAUACGGUGGAUGCCUUGGCAGCUAGAGGCGAUGAAGGACGUUGGAGCCUGCGAAAAGCUUCGGGGAGUCGGCAACCAGACAGUGAUCCGAAGAUGUCCGAAUGGGGGAACCCACCUACCGAAGGUAGGUAUCGUGCACUGAAUACAUAGGUGUACGAGGCGAACGCGGAGAAGUGAAACAUCUCAGUACCCGCAGGAAAAGAAAUCAACCGAGAUUCCCUAAGUAGCGGCGAGCGAACGGGGAGUAGCCCUUAAGUUAUCGUGUAGAUAGAAGAACGCUCUGGAAAGUGCGGCCAUAGCGGGUGAUAGCCCCGUAUUCGAAAUCUUAUCGGUAAUGAAAACGAGUAGGACGGGACACGUGACAUCCUGUCUGAACAUGGGGGGACCAUCCUCCAAGGCUAAAUACUCCUAGCUGACCGAUAGUGAACCAGUACCGUGAGGGAAAGGCGAAAAGAACCCCGGCGAGGGGAGUGAAACAGAACCUGAAACCGUGUACGUACAAGCAGUGGGAGCCCUCUUUAUGGGGGUGACUGCGUACCUUUUGUAUAAUGGGUCAGCGACUUAUAUUCUGUAGCAAGGUUAACCGUAUAGGGGAGCCGCAGGGAAACCGAGUCUUAACUGGGCGUUAAGUUGCAGGGUAUAGACCCGAAACCCGGUGAUCUAGCCAUGGGCAGGUUGAAGGUUGGGUAACACUAACUGGAGGACCGAACCGACUAAUGUUGAAAAAUUAGCGGAUGACCUGUGGCUGGGGGUGAAAGGCCAAUCAAACCGGGAGAUAGCUGGUUCUCCCCGAAAGCUAUUUAGGUAGCGCCUCGUGAACUCAUCUUCGGGGGUAGAGCACUGUUUCGGCUAGGGGGCCAUCCCGGCUUACCAACCCGAUGCAAACUACGAAUACCGAAGAAUGUUAUCACGGGAGACACACGGCGGGUGCUAACGUCCGUCGUGAAGAGGGAAACAACCCAGACCGCCAGCUAAGGUCCCAAAGUCAUGGUUAAGUGGGAAACGAUGUGGGAAGGCUUAGACAGCUAGGAGGUUGGCUUAGAAGCAGCCACCCUUUAAAGAAAGCGUAAUAGCUCACUAGUCGAGUCGGCCUGCGCGGAAGAUGUAACGGGGCUCAAACGGAUACACCGAAGCUACGGGUAUCACGUAAGUGAUGCGGUAGAGGAGCGUUCUGUAAGCCUGUGAAGGUGAGUUGAGAAGCUUGCUGGAGGUAUCAGAAGUGCGAAUGCUGACAUGAGUAACGACAAGGGGGGUGAAAAACCUCCCCGCCGGAAGACCAAGGGUUCCUGCGCAACGUUAAUCGGCGCAGGGUGAGUCGGCCCCUAAGGCGAGGCAGAAAUGCGUAGUCGAUGGGAAACGGGUUAAAAUUCCCGUACCGCUCGUUGUUGCGAUGGAGGGACGGAGAAGGCUAGGUCAGCACGGCGUUGGUAGUCCGUGUUUAAGCCUGUAGGCUGGAUUGCUUAGGUAAAUCCGGGCGGUCAACACUGAGGGGUGAUGACGAGUGAUCCUUCGGGAUCGCGAAGUGAUUGAUGCCAUGCUUCCAAGAAAAGCUUCUAAGCUUCAGACGACGAGAGACCGUACCCCAAACCGACACAGGUGGUCAGGUAGAGAAUACCAAGGAGAUCGAGAGAAUCGUGGUUAAGGAACUCGGCAAAAUGCCCCCGUAACUUCGGGAGAAGGGGGGCCAUCACUGGUGAUUGAAUUUACUUCAUGAGCUGGGGGUGGCCGCAGAGACCAGCGAGAAGCGACUGUUUACUAAAAACACAGGUCCGUGCGAAGCCGUAAGGCGAUGUAUACGGACUGACGCCUGCCCGGUGCUGGAACGUUAAGGGGACCGGUUAGUCCGAUUUCGGUCGGGCGAAGCUGAGAACUUAAGCGCCAGUAAACGGCGGUGGUAACUAUAACCAUCCUAAGGUAGCGAAAUUCCUUGUCGGGUAAGUUCCGACCUGCACGAAUGGCGUAACGACUUCCCAACUGUCUCAACCGCGAACUCGGCGAAAUUGCAUUACGAGUAAAGAUGCUCGUUACGCGCAGCAGGACGGAAAGACCCCGGGACCUUUACUAUAGUUUGGUAUUGGUGUUUGGUUCGGCUUGUGUAGGAUAGGUGGGAGACUGUGAAGCAGCAACGCCAGU
This 2139-nucleotide ribosomal RNA is filed under the name Paris polyphylla var. yunnanensis. Its description in RNAcentral is "bacterial LSU rRNA". It matches the Rfam family "Bacterial large subunit ribosomal RNA", at positions 12 to 2175 of the family's 2925-position model. Lineage: Eukaryota; Viridiplantae; Streptophyta; Magnoliopsida; Liliales; Melanthiaceae. The record is from RNAcentral.